RNAcentral lists this transfer RNA (68 nucleotides) under Marmota monax (woodchuck). It matches the Rfam family "tRNA". From Rfam's summary of the family: Transfer RNA (tRNA) molecules are approximately 80 nucleotides in length. Their secondary structure includes four short double-helical elements and three loops (D, anti-codon, and T loops). Lineage: Eukaryota; Metazoa; Chordata; Mammalia; Rodentia; Sciuridae. The record is from Rfam by way of RNAcentral.
GGUUAUGGCUCAGUGGUAGGGUGCUUGCCUAAGCAUGCAAGAGGCUCUGGGUUCAAUCCCCAGUACCA